Molecule: ribosomal RNA, 515 nt
Filed under: uncultured bacterium
Lineage: Bacteria
Description: partial 16S ribosomal RNA
Rfam family: Bacterial small subunit ribosomal RNA
Source: RNAcentral
GAUGAACGCUGGCGGCGUGCCUAAUACAUGCAAGUCGAGCGAAUGGAUUGAGGGCUUGCUCUUAUGAAGUUAGCGGCGGACGGGUGAGUAACACGUGAGUAACCUGCCCAUAAGACUGGGAUAACUCCGGGAAACCGGGGCUAAUACCGGAUAACAUUUUGAACCGCAUGGUUCGAAAUUGAAAGGCGGCUUCGGCUGUCACUUAUGGAUGGACCCGCGUCGCAUUAGCUAGUUGGUGAGGUAACGGCUCACCAAGGCAACGAUGCGUAGCCGACCUGAGAGGGUGAUCGGCCACACUGGGACUGAGACACGGCCCAGACUCCUACGGGAGGCAGCAGUAGGGAAUCUUCCGCAAUGGACGAAAGUCUGACGGAGCAACGCCGCGUGAGUGAUGAAGGCUUUCGGGUCGUAAAACUCUGUUGUUAGAGAAGAACAAGUGCUAGUUGAAUAAGCUGGCACCUUGACGGUACCUAACCAGAAAGCCACGGCUAACUACGUGCCAGCAGCCGCGGUAA